GUUCUCAUAAGGAUUUGAUAGGGUCAUUGAAUCUCGGACUUAGCUUACCCUUCGACCGAACCUUAACACCUUCCGUUAUAGGGAUACUUUCAGGAAGACUUGAUUGUUAACAUUGUAUUUAAUAUCCUUUUGUUUCUAUAUUCAUAUACGACUUCUAUCUAGUUCACAAACUAGAUUGAAUCUACUAUUUUAGUAAUUAUUAUCAAAUGCAAAAUGGGCAUUCUUCGAUAGAUUCACAAACAACCAAGAGUUAACGUCCAAG
This 262-nucleotide long non-coding RNA is filed under the name Gossypium barbadense (sea-island cotton). RNAcentral describes it as "long non-coding RNA (GBAR_LNC004783)". Lineage: Eukaryota; Viridiplantae; Streptophyta; Magnoliopsida; Malvales; Malvaceae. The record is from RNAcentral.